AUACUUACCUGGCAGGGGAGACACCCUGAUCUGGCAGGUUGUUUUCCCAGGGCGAGGAUCAUCCCUUGCGCUCCGGGUGUGCUGGCCCCUGUGUUUUCCCCAAAUGCGGGAAACUCAACUGCAUCAUUUGUGGUAGUGGGGGACUGUGUUCAAGUUCUCCCCUG
RNAcentral lists this small nuclear RNA (164 nucleotides) under Podiceps cristatus (great crested grebe). RNAcentral describes it as "U1 spliceosomal RNA". It matches the Rfam family "U1 spliceosomal RNA". Rfam says of the family: U1 is a small nuclear RNA (snRNA) component of the spliceosome (involved in pre-mRNA splicing). Its 5' end forms complementary base pairs with the 5' splice junction, thus defining the 5' donor site of an intron. There are significant differences in sequence and secondary structure between metazoan and yeast U1 snRNAs, the latter being much longer (568 nucleotides as compared to 164 nucleotides in human). Lineage: Eukaryota; Metazoa; Chordata; Aves; Podicipediformes; Podicipedidae. The record is from Rfam by way of RNAcentral.